Molecule: long non-coding RNA, 5817 nt
Filed under: Phoenix dactylifera (date palm)
Lineage: Eukaryota; Viridiplantae; Streptophyta; Magnoliopsida; Arecales; Arecaceae
Description: long non-coding RNA (PDAC_LNC003010)
Source: RNAcentral
GGCGGGUUCGACAUCAGAUCAUCUAAGUACAUAAGCGAAAACUAUUAGGCUGACAAGAUGCAAUUUUUGAUCUGGAUUUUGCGGAUUUGGUUAUAGAUACAACUCCGACAAUAUCGGAUCUGACAUAUCAAGUGGCGAAAGAUAGUUAUGAUUUAUAAUAAGGUGGGUGGUACGAAUGCUUGUGCGCAACAUAAUGUUAUGGGUAAGAUGUUUGCGGUGUGUGAUUACAGAUUCGAGAACGUCAAGAAUGCGAUGGUUAAUUUCUAUCUAAUAUUAUGGUAUGUUGCCUUGUUUGAGAAUUCAUGUUCUGUUAAGCCGUUUGUAAGAGUAGGAGUCUUUAUCGGGGAAAAAAAUACAAAUUUCGAGAUGUUGAUUUUUUUUUCCUUCUUUUUCCUGUUACUUUUUGUUUUGUUUGUUUGUCUGUCAGCCAUUAUUGGUACAUCAUCUAAUAUCAUGGUAUGUUGCCUUGUUUGUUACUUUUUGUUUUGUUUGUUUGUAAGAGUAGGAUGUAAAGCAGCGCGUCCUCAGACAUUGGCUGAUACUCAGCAUAUUGGACUUGAUUUUUUUUCUUAUUUUUCAAUAAACAAUCUUAAUGAUAUUUGAAUUAUUGAAUGUCAAAGCUGAUGCCUUGAAGUAGUAGUUAAUCCUAGUUUCUGUAUAUUGGCCAAGAACUAGGAAUCUCUUGCUGCUUACCAAAUUUUUCCAGUUUUUCAUCGACUGAGAUAAACCGAGAUCUUGGUACGUCUUGGUUCCAGCCACCCAGUGAGAUGGCCAAGAUGCAUUUUGGAAACCUUGUCAAUUAAUUCUUCAUUUUCUAAAUGUUGUAGUCUUAUUCAGAUGCUUUACAUAAGAGAUUGCUAUAUGCUUCCCUGUUUACUUGCAUUAAUUUUCAUACUUGACCAGCAGUUUAAUGUGUUGUAGUUUUUUUCAUUUUGUCCUCUGCAAACUAAGCAUUUACAGUUAUUUCUAAGAUAACAAUCUAGCAGACGGCGUUGGUGAAGAAAUCCAUAUUCAGAAGAUUUGCUCUGACGUUUACAUUAACUGGGUGUGGCUAAUAGUUUAAAUGUCUAAUUUUGGUGGCUUAGUUAUCUAUCUACCACCUUUCAUGUUUGUUAUUUUUAGCUGAACUUUAAUGCUGAGAUGUGUUUUGUAUAUCCAUAAUAGAAAAUAUUUCAGGUUUGAUUUGAGGAAGGUUGUAUAUCUAGUUCAAAAUGAUGUAUUUGAAGGAUGGUUUCUUGAAACAUCCAAAAUUGUGAUCUAAAACCUUCUAGUUGUAGGUUGAGAGCUUUAUGAAUCUUCUAUACUUGCCUGGCUCUAAGAGAAUCUCUUAUCUGGCUCUAAGAGAAUUUCUUAUCUGUCAUGAUUCUAACAAAACAUUUAGCUCCAAUGAGCUUGAUGUAUACCUUAUGUUAUACAUCAGUAGUUGCUCUUGAAUUUGUUUGAAUCAUCAGGUAAAUCCUUCCUUUUUGCUUUUACUCAGGUUUUAUCAUGCAUAUUUACAUGCAAUGCUAAGAAACCCAUAUAAAUGAGCAAAUGGAGUUUUAGAUGUCUAUAGUGUAUAAUGAGAAUAAUUUAGUCAGUGUUAUUAAUAAUUUGAUUGAUUUUCAACUAAUUCAAAUUCUUAUUUAAAGAAUAACAGGGGGAAAAUUGUUAGAGAACCAUGAAAAUGUUCAUGUAGAAAGAGUUUUUAUCAGAUGGAGGUUUUUGUCUAAAUGAUGUAGUCAAAAUCUUGUAUAUAUCAUUUCCAAACCCUGUGAAGGGAACAUGUGUAAAUGGAAAUUUUUAUUAACUGUUGCAAAGACUAGAGAUUAGAGUAGUGUUUUAACUUUUCUAUGUUCAAUAGGUAUGUAGUUCUAAACUUCUUUUAUCAAUGCUUUCCCUUGCCAUUCCUGCUUUGUUUUUGCUUCUGUGCUGAAAAUGUCACUUGCAUUUUUAAGUUAAAUGCAUGUAAAUCAUUGUAUAUUUUGUUCUCCCUGGUCUCUUUUACAAUUUACUUCCUACCUGGGUCAAGCUUUGCCCGCACGAAUAAAUGUUUGCAAAUUCUUUGUUCUUAUACUUAUUGCUUGAAUCUCUAAAAAAAUUGUCAGCUUGCAAUUUCCAGAGAUAAGUGCAGUCAUAUCUCACUGAUUUGAGCUUAAGCCUAGUUGCAAAGAAGCUCGAAAUGAUAUGUAAUUUCUUGCAUACAGUUGAUUUCAUCAUUAAAAUAGUAGCUCCAGUCAUUUUGAUGAUCAAUCUUUUGGUAUUGUAUUGGCCAUCAUCAUAAUUCUACUUCUCUUUUUAAAGUUUAGUAUCAGCCGAGCUAAUCUGAGAUUUUGCAAUCCGGCGAAGCUGUUUUACUAUCAUAAUGCUAUGAUAUACCCUUAUCUCAGUAGGGACUAUCUUAUACACAUAUAGAAUGUACAUUUCUUUUGGAGAAAGAAAUGUAGUGUUUAAUCUAUAGAUCAACAUUUGCAGCAUGUGAUAUACAUUGCAGGACUCUUAAGCAGCCUUUAAUGGAGACCAUCAGAUAUGUAGUAAACUUUCCUUUAACUUGUUUGGAAUCUCAAUAGCUCAAGUUUAUGCCUGCCUUGUUGCACUAUGUAAAGCACCUGUCACCUGACAUUACUCACCUCUCGUUGCACACUAUCUGCCAUCCUUAUUAGUUUGUGCGAAUGAACUUGUGGUCAAUGUAUGCUAUGCUAAAUGCUGCCCUAUUAUUUUAUAUAUCUGAUAUUUCUUAUACCUGGAAUACAACCACCAUGGGUUUUUUUAGUUAUAUUUCUCUAUUUUGAUAGGGCACUCCAAAUUUAUCCCUACUUGCAGAAGUUUCAUAGUCUUACUUGUACGUGCUUUAUUGCUUCAGGUUAUGGACCUAUUGUAGCCUCAAUAGCAUCCAGCAUAUAAGAUAUUAGUAGCAUGAGCUGGAAAUACACUUUCACAUUCAAAUUAUCUUACCUAAGGGUCUUCUUUUGUAACUUCUGAACAAAAAGAAAUACCAAGUAAUCAAGCUAUGAGACAAUAAGCCAUACAGAUGAAUUAGCCAAAAGGUGAUCUUAUUAGCAAUGUGGUUGCUUCUUGCUUGUUGGGGGACAAAAAUGUUGGGAAUGAUUGGAAUAGUAGCUUGAGGAUUGAAUGCCCAACCCUUGUUAUAUAACCUUGCACCCUAUAGAUAGGUGUCUUUCUCGCAUUAUAGAUAUGGUUGAGUUGAUACCCAACUAAUUGUGGAUGGCAACGUUUGCCAUACCGGUCGGUACCAGUGUAUACUAACCGUACCGUACUAUACUGGUACCAAAUAAAUAUGUGGUACAGAAGGCGUACCGACAUUUGGUAUGCCAAACCGGGUACUGUAAUAGGCAUACUGACACUGUAAUAGGAUGGUAUUAGUAUGGGGUUUGGUACCGAAACGGCAAACCUUGGUGGAUGGUACCAUUAUUAGUUAGUUUUCUAGAUUUUGAGGAUCAAAACAAUAUUUUUGGUGUUUCAAAAUAAGUAUUAGUCAAGGUAAAUUUUUGUUGCUUUUGUAACUUCUCAGGUGACUUGUUAGUUAAAAUGUUACAAUGUUCAUAAGAAGCAACUAGUUCAAAACUUCUCUCUUUUGUUAGAUUUUGGUUGAGCUCAAUAAAGUUCGCACUGCAACUUGGGUAAGUUGUGAGUCACAGAUGCAUGCUUCCUCGUGACCUCAUCACUAAGCAGUCAUGUUGAUGUCAAUCCAUUGCGUUACUGUAGCAUGUUUACAGUAUGACCUAAGUGCAUCUCUGGUGCAAACCAAGCCAACUACGGUUUGUCAUUGGUGUGAUCGAUGUAGCCUUGGUAUCAUGGCAUCUAUGCACCUCAGGUUGACCUGUAACAUUUGGGUAGAUUGAUAACCAAUUUCUGUCCCACACGUUUUUGAGGAAAUGUCUUUUGUUGAUAUCUUCCAUCAAGAGCUGAUCAUGGGCUGGGUCUCGGGCCUAAACUCUAUUCAUUUUUAAUCGGGUUUCGGGCUGGACCUAUGUAAAAUUUGAUAUUUUCUACACCCAAGCUUGGCCCAUGAUCAGCAAUGCUUCCAUGUCAACACUUGGGUCCCAAGACAUCUCUCUCAAACCUGUCAUCAAGAAAUUCAGUUGCAUACAUGCCCAAAAUCACAAGUCAAAUCUACAAAUGGAAUCAGGCCUACCCAAGCGUUGGACCUAUUGUAACCAUUCUUUGAGGCCUAAACAACCGCUGCAGAUCCUGUCUUAUAGAUAUGGAGAAGCAUGAACCUGGCAGGUAAGCAAUCCACAUCAACAUUUGUCUUUUCCAUCAUUGCUGGAGUUCCAACUCAAGGAGCUCCAUUCCCCUUCCAUUUAACUUGAGAGGCAACAAUCUCUCUUAGAUAGCAAGCAUCACUGUCAGAGACAUGCUGAAAUCAUCAUUUCUGAGAAAAAUCUGUUCUUUCUCCAGCUCUUUGGAGUUCUAGGGAACCAGUUUGUUUUCCCUGGCUAGCUGAACAUAAUCGCUUUCUUGGCUUUUAUACUGUCGUGUUUUAAGGCAUGCUUGGAACCCACUACCUAGGGACAACACUGCUGGAAUUUGAGUUGACAAAGUCAUGCUUGAACUGUUUUGCUAUGAGGGUGGCCUGCGGUACAAUCAUAACCCAUACUGGCAUGUGUUAGCCAGAGAAGCAUGGUGUUGCAGAGGUGGUCCUGUGAUAUGCAUUGGAGGUCUGAAGCGAUUUUACUAUACUAUCACAUAUCAUCAAUCUUGCACAGAGAAUUUCUGCUGAUGUUUCAAGAUUACUAGAGAUCAUGCAUGGAAAAGUGAAUGUUUUACCAAGUCCACGUUUGGCAAAACUCAAGAAGUUGGCAGAGAAAAGCCUGUUAAAAGGCUUGCUUUCUAUAAGCAACUCUUACUUUUCGAAAACCAAUGUAAGAUGGACUGCUAGAUUAAGCCUUCUGAAAAUAGGACUACUAUUUCUGUUUAGCACUAAUUGAUCCGAGUUUUGAUUGAGCCGAUCACAAGUUCAGCACUACCAAGUCAUUGACCACAUUCAAUCACCAGGGCAAAUUGGGAGGGUACCCUAGUUUGUUUGAAGACGAGAACUUUUAGCUCUCCCAGGAUCAUGGACAUGUUUGGAAUUUUCUCCCUUUUAUCCUUUUUCAUAUCAAGCUUAUUUCGACCUGUGUUACUGAUUUAUGGUUUUAUAGUUCUUGGGGAAGAUGCAGCAUAUUUUCUCCUCGUUUCCUCGCUUUUGAUUGUGGUACAAUGUGUAAUUUAUAUUCCAAGAAAUCCGGAUUUUGCUUUUCAUAGUGUAUGCAGGGCUGCCUGUAUGUUUCUCACCACCGGUCUUGAGAGUUCAUGCUGCUAAUUUCCUCCAUGGAUAUAUAAACAGGGCUGCACAUGUAAAAGCAACAUCAUCCGAUAUUAUGUGUAGCAGUAGCCAAAGUGUCUCUUGUUGUCCUACUUUCACUGAUUUGGAAUAUUGGUUUUAACAUCUGCUUGAGACGACGGCUGGACGAGUUUUGAAGUCCAUUUUCUGGGUACAUGCGCAAUUUUUUGGUUGUGAUGAGAGAAAUUGUUUGCUACCAUCUGCAUUCUAGAUUUUAAAUUAUACAGGCUAUCAACAAUAUGAAUAACAUGGGAUGGUGAAAUUAUGUUUACAAUGGAUCAAUGGUCAGCUUUUACGUUAAUUUGCUCAUCGGUGUGGGCAUGGCGGAUUCAUUCCUUUGAUGCAAUAAUUUUUUUGAUGACGUAAUUGAUAUUUUUCGCAGAUAUGUAACCAUGGAAGCUUGAGUUUUGGCGGGGCAAUUCCAUGUUGUUGCGAUGGAUCUUUUUCCCCACUUUUAUUAGCGCCUUGUGGAAUCAUGCCAUACUAACUCA